This 889-nucleotide ribosomal RNA is filed under the name Neofusicoccum ribis. RNAcentral's name for it is "LSU rRNA". It matches the Rfam family "Eukaryotic large subunit ribosomal RNA", at positions 37 to 944 of the family's 3401-position model. The record is from RNAcentral. RNAcentral also lists the same sequence under 2 other names. Lineage: Eukaryota; Fungi; Ascomycota; Dothideomycetes; Botryosphaeriales; Botryosphaeriaceae.
AGCAUAUCAAUAAGCGGAGGAAAAGAAACCAACAGGGAUUGCCUUAGUAACGGCGAGUGAAGCGGCAAUAGCUCAAAUUUGAAAGCUGGCCCCUUCGGGGUCCGCGUUGUAAUUUGUAGAGGAUGAUUCGGCGAGGGCUCCCGUCUAAGUCCCUUGGAACAGGGCGUCAUAGAGGGUGAGAAUCCCGUAUGUGAUGGGCUGCCUUAGCCAUGUGAAUCUCCUUCGACGAGUCGAGUUGUUUGGGAAUGCAGCUCUAAAUGGGAGGUAAAUUUCUUCUAAAGCUAAAUACCGGCCAGAGACCGAUAGCGCACAAGUAGAGUGAUCGAAAGAUGAAAAGCACUUUGGAAAGAGAGUUAAAAAGUACGUGAAAUUGUUGAAAGGGAAGCGCUUGCAGCCAGACUUGUCCGCAGUUGCUCAGCUUGUCUCCUGACAGGCGUACUCUUCUGCGGCCAGGCCAGCAUCAGUUCGGGCGGUCGGAUAAAGACCUGGGGAAUGUAGCUCCUCUCGGGGAGUGUUAUAGCCCUGGGUGCAAUGCGGCCAGCCUGGACUGAGGAUCUCGCUUCGGCUAGGAUGCUGGCGUAAUGGCUGUAAGCGGCCCGUCUUGAAACACGGACCAAGGAGUCUAACAUCUAUGCGAGUGUUUGGGUGUCAAACCCAUGCGCGUAAUGAAAGUGAACGGAGGUGGGAACCCUCACGGGUGCACCAUCGACCGAUCCUGAUGUCUUCGGAUGGAUUUGAGUAAGAGCAUAGCUGUUGGGACCCGAAAGAUGGUGAACUAUGCCUGAAUAGGGUGAAGCCAGAGGAAACUCUGGUGGAGGCUCGCAGCGGUUCUGACGUGCAAAUCGAUCGUCAAAUUUGGGUAUAGGGGCGAAAGACUAAUCGAACCAUC